AGCGGUCGACCUUCCACAGUGUCCUCCAGAUUCCUCCAACGGACGAACUUCUAUUGUACCAUCCAAACUUCUCCAAUAAUGAGCUCCUCCAUUCAUCUACCGGACUGCUCUAAAUGCUUUCUGAGCUUCACUAUCAGCCAAUUUUCUACAGUGAUCGGCCAUUAUCUGAAUCUCUUCCAGACUUCUUCCAGCCACGAUCGACUUUACUCCGAACUUCUAAUUGCAAGAGAAUUCCAUCUGAGCUCCUACAAAAGCCAGACUUCGUCCAAACUUCUAUAGUGGAUGGAUCCUAGACGAACUUCUACAACGGACGGGCUCUACCAGUCGGAUCUU
This 333-nucleotide long non-coding RNA is filed under the name Elaeis guineensis (African oil palm). RNAcentral describes it as "long non-coding RNA (EGUI_LNC024552)". The record is from RNAcentral. Lineage: Eukaryota; Viridiplantae; Streptophyta; Magnoliopsida; Arecales; Arecaceae.